RNAcentral lists this ribosomal RNA (468 nucleotides) under uncultured bacterium. RNAcentral's name for it is "partial 16S ribosomal RNA". It matches the Rfam family "Bacterial small subunit ribosomal RNA", at positions 28 to 507 of the family's 1533-position model. The record is from RNAcentral.
GACGAACGCUGGCGGCGUGCUUAACACAUGCAAGUCGAACGGAAAGGCCCUGCUUUUGUGGGGUGCUCGAGUGGCGAACGGGUGAGUAACACGUGAGUAACCUGCCCUUGACUUUGGGAUAACUUCAGGAAACUGGGGCUAAUACCGGAUAGGAGCUCCUGCUGCAUGGUGGGGGUUGGAAAGUUUCGGCGGUUGGGGCUGGACUCGCGGCUUAUCAGCUUGUUGGUGGGGUAGUGGCUUACCAAGGCUUUGACGGGUAGCCGGCCUGAGAGGGUGACCGGCCACAUUGGGACUGAGAUACGGCCCAGACUCCUACGGGAGGCAGCAGUGGGGAAUAUUGCACAAUGGGCGGAAGCCUGAUGCAGCAACGCCGCGUGCGGGAUGACGGCCUUCGGGUUGUAAACCGCUGUCGCCUGUGACGAAGCGUGAGUGACGGUAAUGGGUAAAGAAGCACCGGCUAACUACGUG